RNAcentral lists this ribosomal RNA (254 nucleotides) under uncultured bacterium. Its description in RNAcentral is "partial 16S ribosomal RNA". It matches the Rfam family "Bacterial small subunit ribosomal RNA", at positions 524 to 776 of the family's 1533-position model. The record is from RNAcentral.
UACGGAGGGGGGCUAGCGUUGUUCGGAAUUACUGGGCGUAAAGCGCACGUAGGCGGCUUUGUAAGUAAGAGGUGAAAGCCUGGUGCUCAACACCAGAACUGCCUUUUAGACUGCAUCGCUUGAAUCCAGGAGAGGUGAGUGGAAUUCCGAGUGUAGAGGUGAAAUUCGUAGAUAUUCGGAAGAACACCGGUGGCGAAGGCGGUGAGCUGGGCAGUUGCUGACACUGAGGCGCGACAGCGUGGGGAGCAAACAGG